RNAcentral lists this transfer RNA (73 nucleotides) under Candidatus Acetithermum autotrophicum. RNAcentral describes it as "Candidatus Acetothermum autotrophicum tRNA-Thr". It matches the Rfam family "tRNA". Rfam says of the family: Transfer RNA (tRNA) molecules are approximately 80 nucleotides in length. Their secondary structure includes four short double-helical elements and three loops (D, anti-codon, and T loops). The record is from RNAcentral. Lineage: Bacteria; Candidatus Bipolaricaulota. RNAcentral also lists the same sequence under 5 other names.
GCCGACGUAGCUCAAUCGGCAGAGCAACCGCUUUGUAAGCGGUGGGUUGCCGGUUCGACUCCGGCCGUCGGCU